RNAcentral lists this transfer RNA (74 nucleotides) under Xanthocytophaga agilis. Its description in RNAcentral is "tRNA-Ser". It matches the Rfam family "tRNA". Rfam says of the family: Transfer RNA (tRNA) molecules are approximately 80 nucleotides in length. Their secondary structure includes four short double-helical elements and three loops (D, anti-codon, and T loops). The record is from RNAcentral. Lineage: Bacteria; Pseudomonadati; Bacteroidota; Cytophagia; Cytophagales; Rhodocytophagaceae.
GGAGGGAGUAGUUCAACGGAAGAAUAUCCGGUUGCUAACUGGAAGGGUGCAAGUUCGAGUCUUGUCUUCCUCCA